Molecule: long non-coding RNA, 5974 nt
Filed under: Marmota monax (woodchuck)
Lineage: Eukaryota; Metazoa; Chordata; Mammalia; Rodentia; Sciuridae
Source: RNAcentral
UUGUUUUUCUUUUCUUUGCCUUUUCCCUGGCUCUUCUGUUCCUUUUUUAUUUUUCCUUCUGUUACUUGUAUGUUGUCAUAUAGCUGAACAAUUAUAAACCCUUAGCAGAUAUCAUAACAAGUUAAUUCUCUCUUCCCUUCAUAGUCAAUCCAUCACCAAGCCUUAAAGAGUGACCUGUGUCUCAUCCAUCCCACCCAUCACUAUUUUCACUGCUACAACCCUGUUCCAAGUACCAUUCCCUCUCACCUGGACAACUGCAGUAGCUUCUAACUGGUCUGUCUGCCAGAUUUAAAUAUUCCUGUCUUUGUGUAAUCUUUUUGAAACCUAAAUUAAUCACCAUCCUUGGCCUUCCUAAAAAGCUUUAAGUGGUUUCUCACUGUCCUCGGGUUUAAAACUAAUUUAUUUAUUUAUUUAUUUUAGGCAAGGUCUCACUAUGUUGCCCAGGAUGGUCUUGAAUUUCUGAACUCAAAUUAUCUCUUCCUACCUUGUCUCCUGAGUAACUUUUUUUGGUGGGGGGAGUAACUGGGGAUUGAACCCGGGGAAGCUCUACCACUGAGCUAUAUAUCCAGCACUACUUCUUUUUAAUUUUGAGACAGAACCUCACUAAGCUGUCAGCGGUGGCCUUAAACUUGUGAUCCUUCUGCCUCACCCUCCUGAAUCACUGAGAUUAUAGGUGUGCACCACCAUACCUGGCAAAACCAAAAUCUUCAGCAUGGCUUAUAAGACCCCGUAUGCUCUGGCCUCUUCUCCAUUUUGUCCGCUUCACUAUAGACACAGUGGCUUCCAUUUCCUCAUCUGUACCAGGCACCCUCCUAUUCCAGCACCUUUGCAUAUGUUGUGGUUGCUGCCCAAAAUCCUCAUCUCCCCCAGACCCCAUCUAAGUUAACUCCUUCAGAUCUGGGAGCAGUCACCACUCCUCAGAGAAGCCUUUUUUGACCUCUAUACUUCUCCUGUAUAAGAUUAAUCACAGUUAUAACUGUACACUUCUGUGUGACAUUAUUUGAACAAUAUUGAUCUCCCCACUAGAUUUCGAAAGAAGCAGAAAUUGUGCCUGCUUUUUUACUUUCCUCACAUCUUUAGCUCACACUACAGUAUUCAGAGCAUAACAGGAACUCAGGAAAUAUUUAUUAAAUGAGUAAUAGCAAAAAAAAUUAAAGACUAUAAAAUAGAAGUUGUAGUGAGGAGACUGUCAACUGUUUUAAUAGCAUUAGGACUGGGUGAUGUACAGAAAGGAGAGACCCAGAGCAUGCCAUCAGAAGGGCUUGCUGCUUCAGAAAGCAAGGCAGCAUGAAGCUCUGAGGGGAAGGAGACGUGGGUCUAUUGCCACCACUGCUUCUGACUUUUUUAUGUGACCAUGAGCAAGUGACUUCACGCAUCUCGGCCUCAGUUUCCUCAUCCAUAAAACAGAAACUAUUAGUACUGCUUGUUGUAAGGAAAUAAGGUAAAGAUAAAAAAAGCGGGUCACACACUUAGUCUAGUUCUUGACUUCGAGAACGGACCUUGAUUUAGAUUUUUUUUUUUUUUAAUAUUUUUUUGGUUGCUGAUGAACUUUAUUGUUUUUAUUUUUAUGUGGUGCUGAGGAUCAAACCCAGUGCCUCACGCAUCCUAGGCAAGCACGCUACCACUGAGCCACAACCCCAGCCCCUUGAUUUAGAUUUAAUUCCUACAUUUCCUCCCCAACUGGUACCAGUCAGGCCUUAUUAAGUAAAUGUACAAGGUCACAGAACCAGUUAGUUUGGGAUCAGGACUUCAGAGCCUGUGGACUUACCAUCCAGUGCUCUUUCGUUGAUGCCAGUUGCUAUUCAAGAGGCAAGAUUCAAACACUGGGCUGGAAGUCAGGUGCCUGGGCUUCUUUUCCCAGCUCCUGCAGUUCCCAGUCAUGGGACAAUUCCCUCCCUAUCUAUCUUUAACUACCUUGGUAAUAUGAUGUAUUUCAAAGUUCUUUGAAAGAAGGCACUGUAUAAAUGAUUGGUAUUAUUUAUAUCUGGAAAACUCGGUAAUUUUUAAAAUUCCACAUUUUCUAAUGAAGAAGCAAAAGAAAUAUGAGAUAGCUUCCUAAAACACUUGGUGUGCCCUGCUGAUAGGUGAUGCUUGGGUGUUAAUUUUUUCACUGAAAUCUGGAAGACUACUUGUUGGAGGCAAUGAGGCAUAUCCUUGUCCCCUGUGUUAGUCAGCUUUCCAUCUCUGACAAAAUACCUGAGGUUAUCGGCUUACAAAUUUAAAAAAAAAAAAAAAAGUCUUAUUUUGGCUCACAUUUUUAGAGGUAUCAGUCUCUUGGGGAGGAGAUUACUAGAAAUUGAACCCAGGAGUGCUUGGCCACUGAGCUAUAUCCCCAGCCCAUUUUGUUUUUAUUUUUUUAUUUUGGUACAGUGUCUCACUAAGUUGCUUAGGGGCUUGCUAAGUUGCUGAGGCUGGACUCAAAUUUUUUAUUUUCCUGCCUUCCGUGUUGCUGUAGGUACAGGCGUGCAUUUCCAUGCCCCGUUGAAAGUCUACAUUCAUGUUCGGUUGACCCAACUGCUCUGGAGGCCCAGGGUGAGGCAGCACAUCAUGGCAGAAAAAUACAGUGGAGGAAGCUACUCCCCUCAAAGAAACCAGGAAGCAAAAAGAGUGACCCACAAUGGCCUAAUUGCCUUCCACUAGGCCUCGCCUCCUAAAAGUUCCACCAUUCUCCAAUAGGCUAGUGACCAAGCCUCUAACACAUGGACCUUUGGAAGAUUCUUAUCCAAACUAUAGCACUCCUCCUAUCCCUUUUUUUUUAAUUUGAUUUCCUACAAUUUUAUAAACCUCAGCGAUUGCCUCUCAGACCUUCCAUGGGCUAAAAAACAGUGUAACCUGGUAUAGUGGCACAUACCUGUAAUCAGUAGCUCAGAAAGCUGAGGCAGGAGGAUCACAAGUUCAAAGCCAGCCUCAGCAACUUAUCAAGAUUUUAUCUCAAAAUAAAAAAUAAAAAGGGCUGGGGAUGGCUUGGGAUGUCACUCAGUGGUUGAGCGUUCUUGGGUUCAAUCCCUGAUACAAAAAAAAAAAAAACAGUGUAAUGAGGUUCAGCCAGUGUUGCUUCUUUUUGUGUGUUUAUUUUUGGAGGUAGUACUUGGAUUCAACCCGGGGGUGCUCUACCACUGAAUUACACCCAUAGCCUUUUUUAUUUUUUAUUUUGAAACAGGGUCUCACUAAGCUGCUGAGGCUGACCUCAAACUUGUGAUCCUCCUCCCUCAGCCGCCUGGCCUGGUGCUGCAUGAAACUGCAGCCACCAUUGAGGUAUAUUCAGAAACAAAGGUUAUGAAACCAUAACCUUGAAUCUAAGCUUCCUGCCUGUUUAAAGCUAGAUGAUUACAAAGUGGUAUUAUGAGUCUAUUUAAAUAGAAAAACUAAGAUAAUGGUUUCUCUUUCAGCUAAACAGAAAGAAUGUACUGACAACGUGAGCAGAGCUUUUGAACAAGGUAUUCUAUGUUUUGACUGUGUUAAAUAUGGAAAGAAAUUUUAAGCAUUGAGGCAUAAUUGUUCAUUCAAUUAGUAGCUUUUAUAUACUUAUCCUCUGAUAGGUACCUGGAAAUAUAAAAUAUGUAUGAAUUAUACUUCUGUCUUUAAAGAGUUCUAGUCUUGCUAUAGAAACAAACUGUGAACCAAAAACAGAAAUAUCCCAGUGAAACAUUAAAUAGGAGGAAGGUACUUCCAUUCCACUUUAGCAAGAAACUAAGGUAAGGUAUAGAAGUGAAAUAUUGGGCCAGGGAUAUAGCUCAGUUGGUAGAGUGCUUAUCUUGCAUGCACAGGGCCCUGGGUUCAAUCCCCAGCAUGACCAAAAAAGAAAAAAAAAGUGAACUAUUUAAAGUCUAUCAACCUAGAAUUCUGUACUAUGGUAUCAUCCUUCAAAUCUGAAGGAAAAAUACUUUCUUAGAGAAACAAAAACUAAAGGAAUUUGGUGCCAGCAGACCUGCCUUACAAGAAAAGCUAAAAGGAGUUCUUUAGAGAGAAGGAAAGACUGGGUAUGGCUUAGUGAUAGAGCACUUGCCUAGCGUGCACAAGACCCUGGAUUUGAUCCCCAGCACUGCAGGAAAAAAAGAAAUAGAAGAAAAGGAUACGGGUCUGAAAUUUGGGUCUACAUAGAGGAAAGAAGAUUAUUGGAAAAGGAAUAAAUGAAUGUCAAAUACUUUUUUUUUUUUCAUUAUUCUCAAUUGAUCUAACAAACAAGUUUGUUCAAAACAGUAAUAGAAGCCAAGUGCUGUGGCUCACAUUUGUAUUCUCAGCUAGUCAGGAAGUAGAGACAGAGGAUCACAAGUCUGAGGCUAGCCUGGGAACUUAGUGAGACCCUGUCUCAAAAAGAAAAUAAAAGAGCCUGAGGGUGGCUGAGUGGUACAGAGUCUGUGUGUGCAUCCAGUACGGGGUGGGGUCAAGGACAACACCCCCAGCCAUACUCAGUGCCACAUGUUUGUAAGCCACUACUUGGGAGGCUAAGGCUAGAGGAUCACUUGAGCCCAGGAGUUUAAGACCAAAGGCAACAGUAAGACUCUCAAAAAAAGGAAAGAAAUAAAAAGAUACAGGCUGGGCUGGGAUAUAUAACUUAGUGAUAGAGCACAGUACGCCCUCAGUUUGAUUCCCAGUACCACCAAAAAAAAUAAAAUAAAAGCCUCACUAUAUAAAUAUGACAACAUAUAAGUUAUAUAAGGACAUAUAAGGAGUGAAGUGAAGGGCCAGGGAUAAGGCUCAGUGUAGAACACUUAACCUAGCAUGUGUGAGGCCCUGGGUUCAAACCCCUACACCACCAAAAAAUAAAUAAAUAACCUGAUAAACUGUAUGUUUUACCCUAAUUUUCAGAUAUUUGGAUAUUUAAAAAGUUGCCAGAUACAGUGGUGCACAUCUGUAAUCCCACAACUCAGGAGGGUGAGGCAAGAUGAAUGCAAGUUCAAGGCCGGCCUCAGUAAUUGAAGAAGGCCCUAAGAAACUUAGUGAAAUCCUAACUCAAAAUAAAAAGGGAUGGGAUGUGGCUCAGUGAUAAAGUGCCUCUGGGUUCAAUCCCCAGUACCAAAAUAAAUAAAUAUAUACAUACAUAAAUACAAUAAAAUAAAUAUUAAGGGCUGGGGUUGUGGCUUAGCAGUAGAGCUCUCGCCUAGCUCGGGUGAGGCCCUAGGUUCGAUCCUCAGCACCGCAUAAAAAUAAAUUAAUUAGCUAAUUAAAAGAUAUUGUGUCCAACUAUAACUAAACAAAUAUUUUUUAAAAAUAAAAAUAAAUAUUAAAAAAGUAAGGAUAGCUGGGCAUGGUGGUACAUGCCUGUAAUCCCAGCAGCUGGGGAGGCUGAGGCAGUUCUUCAGUGCCUCACUCAGUGAGACUCUGUCUCUAAAUUUAAAAGAAAAAAAGAAAUGGUGUUCAAGCUCCCUGCAGGUCCUUUGCUAUUACAUUAAAUCUCCCUUUCACAGUGACCACUUUCCCAAAUUUUGUAUUAAUCAUUCCAUUGCUUUUCUUGUAGUUUUAAUGGAUAUAACGGUAAAUCACUUACUUUUGCAUAUUUUUUUAAUCUUUGUAUAAAUAGCAUCAUAGUUUAUGUAUUCUGAAACUUUUUUCUGUUAUUUUAUUUUCAAUAUGGGUAAUUGUAACAUAUCCUCACUUCAGCACUCAUCACAUUAUUUUGUAUUUAUCUAAGUCUGGUUUUCUCAACCUCAGCAUUCCGAGCAUUUUUUAAAUUUUUUUUUAGUUGUAGAUGAACACAAUACCUUUAUUUUAUUUAUUUUUAUGUGGUGCUGAGGCUCAAAGCCAGUGCCUCACACGUGCUAGGCAAGCGCUCUACCACUGAGCUACAGCCCCAGCCCCACAUUACCAACAUUUUGAGUCAGAUAAUUCUUGGUCAUAAAGGGCUGUCCUUUGCACUUUAAGGUAUUUAGCAGCAUCCCUGGCUUGUACCCACUAGAUGCCAGUAACACCUUCCAGGUUGGGUCAACUGAACAUGCCUCAGACAUUGUCAAAUGUCCCCUUGGAGGCAAAAUCA